GUAACACGUAGUCAACAUGCCCAGGGGACGUGGAUAACCUCGGGAAACUGAGGAUAAACCGCGAUAAGUCACUACUUCUGGAAUGGGUAAUGACUCAAAUCUACAUGGCCCCUGGAUUGGACUGCGGCCGAUCAGGCUGUUGGUGAGGUAAUGGCCCACCAAACCUGUAACCGGUACGGGCUCUGAGAGGAGGAGCCCGGAGAUGGGCACUGAGACAAGGGCCCAGGCCCUAUGGGGCGCAGCAGGCGCGAAACCUCUGCAAUAGGCGAAAGCCUGACAGGGUUACUCUGAGUGAUUUCCGUUAAGGAGAUCUUUUGGCACCUCUAAAAAUGGUGCAGAAUAAGGGGUGGGCAAGUCUGGUGUCAGCCGCCGCGGUAAUACCAGCACCCCGAGUGGUCGGGACGUUUAUUGGGCCUAAAGCAUCCGUAGCCGGUUCUACAAGUCUUCCGUUAAAUCCACCUGCUUAACAGAUGGGCUGCGGAAGAUACUAUAGAGCU
RNAcentral lists this ribosomal RNA (497 nucleotides) under uncultured archaeon. Its description in RNAcentral is "bacterial SSU rRNA". It matches the Rfam family "Archaeal small subunit ribosomal RNA", at positions 93 to 593 of the family's 1478-position model. The record is from RNAcentral.